Molecule: long non-coding RNA, 684 nt
Organism: Oreochromis niloticus (Nile tilapia)
Lineage: Eukaryota; Metazoa; Chordata; Actinopteri; Cichliformes; Cichlidae
Exons: 3
Source: RefSeq, a predicted model, not a curated record
GUGCUUCUUUGGUGCAUCCCAGCUGAAGCUUUUUAAUGCAAAAACAGGUUCUUGCACCGUCAUAGAGCAUGCGUCACGGUAUGCUUUGACCCUGAUGGUAGCCGUAGGAAUAAAAAAGGAAAAAGAGCUAGAAACUUGGCUUUAACCUGCUUUAUCGAGGCACGUCAAUUUGAAACACGUGAUCUAGAACUACCAAAAGGCUCUCUGCGGCAUUUAAGGUGCACAGAGUUCUCUAUGACAAAAAAGGGGUGCAUACCCUGUGCAAAAAUAAGCCGCAGAGUCUCAGAGGACCCCACGGAGAGACACAAUGAGGACACAACCUACAGACUGUUUGGACAGGAAGUACUACAACGAGCAGGAGCACGAACAGCUUCACGGCAUUAUGCUGCCAGAUUAACCAUUGGACACACUGGAAAGGACUGGAGGAGAGGAAAGAGGCUCAUCCUGCAGUGUGAACAGGCUUCACAGAUUAGUUGCAUGCUGUCCUGUUGGUGCCGUUUUAGCAUAUAUUAUUUUUUUUAGUAUAUCUAUCAUUUGGAAAGAGAAAAUCUAAUUUGUAAAAUUCAAAGAGAGGAGAUGCUGUGAGAUUCUGUAGCUCUCUAGCUUGUUUUGUGUCUCCCUGUGUCGUGUAUUAUUUGUCCUUACAUGUCACUUUUGUGCAUAUUUUUAAAUCUGCAAAAAUAA